UACGGAGGGUGCGAGCGUUAAUCGGAAUUACUGGGCGUAAAGCGCGCGUAGGCGGUUACAUAAGUUGGAUGUGAAAGCCCAGGGCUCAACCUUGGAACUGCAUUCAGAACUGGCUGGCUUGAGUACGAGAGAGGGUAGUGGAAUUUCCAGUGUAGCGGUGAAAUGCGUAGAUAUAGGAAGGAACAUCAGUGGCGAAGGCGACUGCCUGGCUCGAUACUGACGCUGAGGUGCGAAAGCGUGGGGAGCAAGCAGG
RNAcentral lists this unclassified non-coding RNA (253 nucleotides) under uncultured Cellvibrionales bacterium. RNAcentral's name for it is "contains 16S-23S intergenic spacer region". It matches the Rfam family "Bacterial small subunit ribosomal RNA", at positions 524 to 776 of the family's 1533-position model. Lineage: Bacteria; Pseudomonadati; Pseudomonadota; Gammaproteobacteria; Cellvibrionales. The record is from RNAcentral.